UUCUUUUGUUAUUUUCCCUUUUGUUUUGUUGUGGUUUCUGUUUCCCCUUCCUGGAUCUCCUGCCGUUCCUUGUGGCAUCCACCAGAUGCCGCCAAGAGGCUGCCCCUGGAGUUUGGCCCCGUCAACCCCGGAGACGCAUCUGCGGUUAAUCUGGGAGGCGCGGUCGAGGAGUAUAGGCCUAUAGGAACAGCGGCACGACUCUUCCUCGCCUGAGUGUUUGUUUACCACGGUGAACUUGUCGUCUCCUUGUGGCUCCUGAACCUGACAUCUCCUCGUGGCUCCUGUGAGAACAGCCUGCCCAGAGAGCAGAGCAAGCGUUUCUCUGCGGUAGCCUCGGACUCCCAGCGACACGCGUCCGGACCUCCAGCUCGAACCCAAUUCCAUCUGGGAUCCCUUCGCCCCGGCUUCAGCCAGGACUCCGUCCCGGACACCAAUCACCCUGUCCGCCCUCCGACCGGUCCUCCAUCUCGGCUCAUACCGACCACCAUCUCCACCCACCAAUGAGACGAACCGGCCACCAGUUCCAGUCCUCAUUCCCCAUCCCUUUUCCUGAUUGCAAUAAACACUUAUUAUAUUUCA
Poeciliopsis prolifica (blackstripe livebearer) is the source of this 579-nucleotide long non-coding RNA. RefSeq lists it as uncharacterized. The record is from RefSeq and is a predicted model, not a curated record. Lineage: Eukaryota; Metazoa; Chordata; Actinopteri; Cyprinodontiformes; Poeciliidae. The transcript is spliced from 3 exons.